RNAcentral lists this ribosomal RNA (253 nucleotides) under uncultured bacterium. RNAcentral describes it as "partial 16S ribosomal RNA". It matches the Rfam family "Bacterial small subunit ribosomal RNA", at positions 524 to 776 of the family's 1533-position model. The record is from RNAcentral.
UACAGAGGGGGCAAGCGUUGUUCGGAAUUAUUGGGCGUAAAGGGCUCGUAGGCGGUUUGUCGCGUCGGGAGUGAAAACACCGGGCUUAACUCGGUGCUUGCUUUCGAUACGGGCAGACUAGAGGUAUUCAGGGGAGAACGGAAUUCCUGGUGUAGCGGUGAAAUGCGCAGAUAUCAGGAGGAACACCGGUGGCGAAGGCGGUUCUCUGGGAAUAUCCUGACGCUGAGGAGCGAAAGUGUGGGGAGCGAACAGG